UCACGCCCUCUCCCUCUCCUCCUCGACAAUCUCUCGCCGGCGAGCUCGUCACCGGCGAGCUCCUCGUCGGCGAACUCCUCGUCGGCGACAUAGGCGACAAGCUCUAUGCAACGAGCUCUUCGUCGCUAAUUUUCUUUCCGACGCCCUUCAAAACGGAGCUUCUCGUCUCCGAGCUCCUGGCCGGUGAGCCCCUCACCGCCGAUCUCCUCGCCGGGUAUAGAACUGACGAAUCCGCAAGCGCAUGGUAACCUGCUAGGAAGUGGAACUCAGAGCACAUAUUUCUCUGAAACGGGGACAUUUCAAAGAUCAAGGGGACUUGAAGAAAACUGAACAAGUCACCAUCACAGCUUCGACGAUUUACACGCCAGUAACUUUUACUGAUACACGACAAUGAGGAUAGACAAAAGCUGGAUAUUUUUUCAAGAUAGAACUCUUCCUGAAUUUGAGAAAGGUGUUGAGGAGUUCUUAGACUAUGCUUUUCGGAGAUUGGGGGAUGUAAGGAGAAUUCGUUGUCCUUGCACUAGAUGUAACAAUAUGAUACUUAAGACAAGGGAUGAUGUUAAAGCUGAAUUAUUCUUCAAUGGAGUGAUUUACCAUCAUCGCCUCCUGAUACCGUAGGUAAGAUAAUUUUAUUUUGUGAGGUUUAUUAUUUUAUUUUGUGUGCUAGCUAUGGAAAAACAUUAGUGACAAACUAUGUUAGUUCUAGACUUUGAUGUCCUUAGUUAUUAGUGACAUCUUUGUAAUGCACUAGAUUAUGAAUAUUCGAUGUGGUUUCAUUUUGAAAAAGUUCUUUUAUUUGCAAAUUUUCUGAAAAAUGAUUUUGGACUAGCGAAGGGUGCUAGCCCCUUUGCUAGUCCAAAAGGGAAGAAUGAGAAUAAAGAGGUUAUUCCCCUCAUAUAUAGUAGGCCAACAGCCAAAUUUGAUCUCCACACUCUUUUGAACCAACUGUGAGGAUAAUACAAGCAUGUUGGAGUUAGGUGUGUGAGGUACGGGUGCACGAUGAAGCUACACAUUUUUGAUAGAUAAAGUUGGAUUAAACAUGUAUAGAUGUUUAGCUAAUUGAAUUCUUGAUUUCACAUUCUAUCUGCAAAAUAUUUUCAGGCUUGUUUAUAAGUAUAAUCUAAUAUCCUGAUUAUUUCUUGUACUUGCUUCAUGGAAAACAUGUGUGACUUCUACUAUGUUACAAAUAUAGACGGUUAAAGUAAUUUUCUACUCUAUUUAGUGAACGUAUUGCUCUUUUACAUUUACAUUCUUGUACUGUAUGAGAAAAUAUUUUUGUUGUAUGUACACGGAUAGGAUCGUGCAUAUAUAGCUGCUUACAUAGUGAACUGGACACCUGCAUAUGUUUGUGAUUUUUUGGAACAUUGACUAGAUACUUGUAAUAUAGACGUGCAUCCGGAGUGAUAGAUGCAAAUAGUGCUUUUUUGGAAUUUUAACAAAAAUGUUAUUAGGUCUUUUGGGACAUGUUUACUUGCAAUAAUCCUUAAUUUGCUGACCUGGUUAGCUAGCUGUUUGCUGUAAUUGACAAAAGAUAUCAGGUUCUGCGGCUAAAUUAAGGUAUUAAUUAAGGGCCAAUUGCCUGGUCUUCAAAAAAACUUGAAUAAUUUUUGGUAACUUUUACUAGAUAAUGUUUCUAAGCAGAUAGGUUAAAUUGCAUAGAAAUAGUAGCGGAUUAUUUUCCCACCUUUUUUGUGUCAAAGUAGGGAAGGAAAAGGGCAGAGCACUGAGCCGGGUUAGGAAGCGAGCUGUGUUAAUUUUUAAAUAGGUGUGGAUGGCCAGUCCUUAAGGUUGAAGGCCAGUAAUGAUCUCCAGGUCGAAGAGCAUCAAAGUAAUAACUCUUGACUAGAAAAAGAAAGUGUUUGCAGAAGUAGACCAAAAGAAAAGAGAAGAAGCAAGAAGAUGGUGGUUGGGUUUCAUGGCUAUCUUGGAUAACCGAAUGGUGUCAUAGAUGCCAAUGUCUUUGCAAAAUUCACUCCGUGUUUCGACUCGAGUUGCCCACCAAAUAAAAUCUUUAGAAGAGGAAGGCCAUAACUAGAUAACACUACUAUAAAGGCCCCGAGAGAAGAUAUUGAUGGGGCCAGCCAUAGAAGCAAUGGUGGAUUCCAAACUACAAGAAGGAUCGAAGUAGUCUGGAAAUGAUGGUGAUGUGAUACAAGGGCCAAGAAUGAAAUAGGAGUUUGAAUUAGGAAGCAUGCAAAGAGUCUAGAAAUUGACAAUAGGGUCAUCAAGAAGCACAUCGCUUGUAGGAGUAGAUGUAGAAGAGGAAGCCAUGAGAGCAGAAGAAGCACAAAAGGGAAGAAUGAUACGGCCGAGAAAGAUGAAGAAUUAGGUUUCUUCGAUGAAGAAAAAUUAGGGUUUUGACAAAGAAAACCAUGCAAAGUAUAGGUAUUAUGCCAAUUCUCUUAUAAUGGACGGCCAUGUGCCCUAUGACGCGACACCCAAAUAUGAACAUAGUGAUGAAAGUAAAUUUAAGGCGCAGACGAAAACCCAAGGUAUUGGACGCUGCACGUCACAUCGAUAGAAGCGAAAUCUAAAGCAAUGGCAAUAGGCAAUUCGAUGGUUCCUUGUCACUGAACACGUAACCGUCGGAAGGGGCAAUUGUUGACUCCAAAAAUAAGCAUCGAAUAUAGGAGGCCCCAAAGGAGAUUUUAGUGAAAUCCUAGGCUUCAGCUAUGUCGAAACCCACCUGGGUCUUGAUUUCAGUAUCAUGCCUGAACAUACCCACUUCAAUGAGUAAAAGGCAAGCCCAUUUGAAUUGAACUGUUCAAAAUUCAAAGGGGGGCGAUUUAAGGACAAGAAGUUGGGAAACAAUUGAAGAAAGAAGAGCGACAAAUUGUGGGAGUUAUUUGGUGAUAGUGACUGUGCCUAUAAAAGGAAAUGAAUGCCUACAAGAUGGAGGAUCAAAACAUCGUUUCAAACACCAACCUAUACCUCGCAUUUUAGUAUGAGUAGCUAAAAGGUAAUGUAGGAAUAGCUUCAGGAUAACAUAUAAGCAGUCAUAAUAGUAGAAUUUUCCACCUUUCAGCCACUAUCUCACCCGAUACCGAUAGCCCAUGACUGCCAUUCCGCCCAUUACCGUGCCCCAUUGUACUCACCGACGAACACACCUCCACACCAAGCAUCGUCACCCCAUGGACUCUUUCCUUCUAGGGAUUGUUGUUGUACAGCGGUCCUGUUCAUUUAACUUUGGGUUCGACUGGCGACCGAAAUCAGAAAGCUGAAGUCUUAAGCCUUUGGCUAGUGUGCGUGAAGACCUUGAGGCCUUCCCUCGCGUUUGGACCCAACUGUAUUGUUCCCUCUCCGGUCCACACAUGAAACUAAGUCAGAUCCUGCCUUUCAUCAAUGGAUGUCAUUUGGUGAAUGAACCGGAUCACUCCUUAUGUCGGGUUGUGAUUUCCAUGCCAACAACUUGUUAAUUAACUACUAUGCAGACGACAAUUCUUAUAAUUAGUUAAUCUCUUCUAUCUAUAAAGCACAAUUGUGAUGAUAAGAAUUAUGUGUUUUUACAUAUUGCUCAAGCGCCAAAUAUACAAAUAUUCUCACAACAUAGAUACAUCUAAAAUAUUUUUCAUAAUUUACAUCAAUGAGAUAGUUUCAUAGUGUGCAAAGGUUGUAAAACAAGUUCAAGUUUACAUAUAGACAAGGUUUAAAAUAUCACCCCAUGCCGCUCGGCACGGGGGAAUACAUAUCGUGCCACCAAUUAAGGGGCACGAUCCAUGGAGGGUCUUUCUUGGACACCCUGUGUCGCAAUACUCUUUUGGUAUCGCGCAAGAUAUCGUGAUACUCAAACACACCGUUUGGUUCGGGGUUAAAGGG
Ananas comosus (pineapple) is the source of this 3816-nucleotide long non-coding RNA. RefSeq lists it as uncharacterized. The transcript has 4 exons. The record is from RefSeq and is a predicted model, not a curated record. Lineage: Eukaryota; Viridiplantae; Streptophyta; Magnoliopsida; Poales; Bromeliaceae.